GAUGAACGCUGGCGGCGUGCCUAAUACAUGCAAGUCGAGCGAACAGACGAGGAGCUUGCUCCUCUGACGUUAGCGGCGGACGGGUGAGUAACACGUGGAUAGCCUACCUAUAAGACUGGGAUAACUUCGGGAAGCCGGAGCUAAUACCGGAUAAUAUAUUGAACCGCAUGGUUCAAUAGUGAAAGACGGUUUUGCUGUCACUUAUAGAUGGAUCCGCGCCGCAUUAGCUAGUUGGUAAGGUAACGGCUUACCAAGGCAACGAUGCGUAGCCGACCUGAGAGGGUGAUCGGCCACACUGGAACUGAGACACGGUCCAGACUCCUACGGGAGGCAGCAGUAGGGAAUCUUCCGCAAUGGGCGAAAGCCUGACGGAGCAACGCCGCGUGAGUGAUGAAGGUCUUCGGAUCGUAAAACUCUGUUAUUAGGGAAGAACAAAUGUGUAAGUAACUAUGCACGUCUUGACGGUACCUAAUCAGAAAGCCACGGCUAACUACGUG
This 497-nucleotide ribosomal RNA is filed under the name uncultured bacterium. Its description in RNAcentral is "partial 16S ribosomal RNA". It matches the Rfam family "Bacterial small subunit ribosomal RNA", at positions 28 to 507 of the family's 1533-position model. The record is from RNAcentral.